This 359-nucleotide ribosomal RNA is filed under the name uncultured bacterium. Its description in RNAcentral is "bacterial SSU rRNA". It matches the Rfam family "Bacterial small subunit ribosomal RNA", at positions 9 to 353 of the family's 1533-position model. The record is from RNAcentral.
GAGUUUUGAUCCUGGCUCAGGAUGAACGCUAGCUACAGGCUUAACACAUGCAAGUCGAGGGGAAACGAUAUUGGAAGCUUGCUUCCGAUAGGCGUCGACCGGCGUACGGGUGAGUAACGCGUAUCCAACCUGCCCACCACUUGGGGAUAACCUUGCGAAAGUAAGACUAAUACCCAAUGACGUCUCUAGAAGACAUCUGAAAGAGAUUAAAGAUUUAUCGGUGAUGGAGUGGGGAUGCGUCUGAUUAGCUUGUUGGCGGGGUAACGGCCCACCAAGGCGACGAUCAGGUAGGGGUUCUGAGAGGAACGGCCCCCCACAUUGGAACUGAGACACGGUCCAAACUCCUACGGGAGGCAGCA